Molecule: long non-coding RNA, 477 nt
Filed under: Dasypus novemcinctus (nine-banded armadillo)
Lineage: Eukaryota; Metazoa; Chordata; Mammalia; Cingulata; Dasypodidae
Description: lncRNA (ENSDNOG00000050657.1)
Source: RNAcentral
GGGCAGCCUGUGCCCCCUCCCCCGGUGCCUGGGAACUGGGUGGGACCCGGGACUCCGCCGUCCCGCUUGCUGGCAGCAGUGCCUCCCUAUUCAUCAGCUGCCUGGGUGGGAGCCAGAGGCUCCCGUGGGGACGGGCCUUGCCCGCCUGUCCCACAGCCCCGCGCCCUGGGACUGGCAGCCUGGGCAGGGGGACGGCCGGGUGGGGCAGGGUUCCAACGGGCUGCACAGGAGUCCACAGAGCCCCACCCCUGCCCCUCCGACCCCGAAGCUGGCAUGUGGAGACUGCACUCUCCAGAGGUGUUUCCAGGCGUGCACAAGGGCUGAUUGACUGAGGACCACGUCGGAGAGCUUUGGAUGUCCUCACGGUGAGAGGUGAAGGACUCACACAGUCUGAACUUAUCCCUCCAAAGGGGACCAGUGGGAGACAUUUGACUGGGUGGGAACAUGGGAGGAUGCCAGCAAGGAGGUCCCUGAGUU